Molecule: unclassified non-coding RNA, 155 nt
Filed under: uncultured Dothideomycetes
Lineage: Eukaryota; Fungi; Ascomycota; Dothideomycetes
Description: sequence contains ITS2
Source: RNAcentral
CGACCCUCAAGCAUCGCUUGGUGUUGGGCGAGGUCCCUCGGGGACCCACCCGUAACUCGUAGGCGGCCGCCGCCCGUGCCCCCAGCGUAGCAGGCUCACGCACUCGCUCGGGGACGACGCGCGGCCCGCCCGGCAAACCAGACCCCCCCAAAGGU